GAUGAAGAACGCAGCGAAAUGCGAUAAGUAAUGUGAAUUGCAGAAUUCAGUGAAUCAUCGAAUCUUUGAACGCACAUUGCGCCCCUUGGUAUUCCGAGGGGCAUGCCUGUUCGAGCGUCAUUAUAACCCCUCAAGCACGGCUUGUGUGUUGGGCCUCCGUCCUCCUCCCGGGGGACGGGCCCGAAAGGCAGCGGCGGCACCGCGUCCGGUCCUCGAGCGUAUGGGGCUUCGUCACCCGCUCUUGUAGGCCCGGCCGGCGCUUGCCGACACAUCAAUCUUUUUUCCAGGUUGACCUCGGAUCAGGUAGGGAUACCCGCUGAACUUAAGCAUAUCAAUAAGCGGAGGA
Molecule: unclassified non-coding RNA, 346 nt
Filed under: soil metagenome
Description: partial contains 5.8S ribosomal RNA, internal transcribed spacer 2, and large subunit ribosomal RNA
Rfam family: 5.8S ribosomal RNA (bases 1-120)
Source: RNAcentral